AGUCGAGCGAGGCUUGUAGCAAUACAAGCUUAGCGGCGGACGGGUGAAUAACGCGUGGGCAAUCUGCCCUCUAGUCUGGGAUAACAGUUCGAAAGGACUGCUAACACCGGAUAUGCUCACAACCCGGCAUCGGGAUGUGAGGAAAGUUUACGCUAGAGGAUGAGCCCGCGUCCCAUUAGCUAGUUGGUGAGGUAACGGCCCACCAAGGCGACGAUGGGUAGCCGACCUGAGAGGGUGACCGGCCACACUGGGACUGAGACACGGCCCAGACUCCUACGGGAGGCAGCAGUGGGGAAUUUUCGGCAAUGGGCGCAAGCCUGACCGAGCAACGCCGCGUGAGGGAUGAAGGUCUUCGGAUCGUAAACCUUUGUCUUCAGGGACGAUACAAGACGGUACCUGAGGAGGAAGCCACGGCUAACUACGUGCCAGCAGCCGCGGUAAUACGUAGGUGGCAAGCGUUGUCCGGAAUUACUGGGCGUAAAGGGCGUGUAGGCGGCUUUUUAAGUCAGACGUGAAAUCCCUGGGCUUAACCCAGGAACUGCGUUUGAAACUGGAUGGCUUGAGGACCGGAGAGGGCAGUGGAAUUCCCAGUGUAGCGGUGAAAUGCGUAGAUAUUGGGAGGAACACCAGUGGCGAAGGCGACUGCCUGGACGGCACCUGACGCUGAGGCGCGAAAGCUAGGGGAGCAAACGGGAUUAGAUACCCCGGUAGUCCUAGCCGUAAACGAUGGAUACUAGGUGUGGGAGGUAUCGACACCUUCCGUGCCGCAGUUAACACAAUA
This 781-nucleotide ribosomal RNA is filed under the name uncultured Clostridia bacterium. Its description in RNAcentral is "bacterial SSU rRNA". It matches the Rfam family "Bacterial small subunit ribosomal RNA", at positions 60 to 862 of the family's 1533-position model. The record is from RNAcentral. Lineage: Bacteria; Bacillati; Bacillota; Clostridia.